GCCAUGCGAGUCACAUAGCAAUAUGUGGCAUACGGCUCAGUAACACGUAGUCAACAUGCCCAGGGGACGUGGAUAACCUCGGGAAACUGAGGAUAAACCGCGAUAGGUCAUCACUUCUGGAAUGGGUAAUGACUUAAAUCUAUAUGGCCCCUGGAUUGGACUGCGGCCGAUCAGGCUGUUGGUGAGGUAAUGGCCCACCAAACCUGUAACCGGUACGGGCUCUGAGAGGAGGAGCCCGGAGAUGGGCACUGAGACAAGGGCCCAGGCCCUAUGGGGCGCAGCAGGCGCGAAACCUCUGCAAUAGGCGAAAGCUUGACAGGGUUACUCUGAGUGAUUUCCGUUAAGGAGAUCUUUUGGCACCUCUAAAAAUGGUGCAGAAUAAGGGGUGGGCAAGUCUGGUGUCAGCCGCCGCGGUAAUACCAGCACCCCGAGUGGUCGGGACGUUUAUUGGGCCUAAAGCAUCCGUAGCCGGUUCUACAAGUCUUCCGUUAAAUCCACCUGCUUAACAGAUGGGCUGCGGAAGAUACUAUAGAGCUAGGAGGCGGGAGAGGCAAGCGGUACUCGAUGGGUAGGGGUAAAAUCCGUUGAUCCAUUGAAGACCACCAGUGGCGAAGGCGGCUUGCCAGAACGCGCUCGACGGUGAGGGAUGAAAGCUGGGGGAGCAAACCGGAUUAGAUACCCGGGUAGUCCCAGCUGUAAACGAUGCAGACUCAGUGAUGAGUUGGCUUAUUGCUAACUCAGUGCCGCAGGGAAGCCGUUAAGUUUGCCGCCUGGGGAGUACGGUCGCAAGACUGAAACUUAA
Molecule: ribosomal RNA, 802 nt
Filed under: uncultured crenarchaeote
Lineage: Archaea; Thermoproteati; Thermoproteota
Description: bacterial SSU rRNA
Rfam family: Archaeal small subunit ribosomal RNA
Source: RNAcentral